AAGAAUCAGAUUCAGGGUAGAAUCUUCUAGUACGGCCCUAAACCCGGCCGCUCAGGUUGCAUUCAAAACUGGUGACUUCAAUCAGCAAGUAUUUUUUGCUGCCGGGUUGAAGGAAGGAUUCUUGGCUACUGAGUAUUUGGGACCUCUAUCAGUGGCACUGGAGAAAGAAAAUUGGUCUCUGGUUCAGCCUUUGUUGUCCUCUUCAUACACUGGAUAUGGCACCUCCAGCUUGGAGCAAGUACUCUCUUGAAACUUUCAGUAGAUUCUACUAAAAUCAUUUUUCAAACCUGUCAUUGCCGCAUUUGCUCGAAUAUUUCUAGUGUUUGAUUUUAACAUAAACAUUAUUUCAUGCAAAUUCAUGAUCUAUUCAUGUCCUUCUCUUGCUACAAUUUUUGCUGAUUUCCUCUUUUUUUCUUUAAAACAUCCAAGAUUUUAAGGUUUCUUUUUUUUUUAAUUUAUAUCCAAAGUGCCUCAUUCUCAUUUCACCAUGUGUCUUCUCCACAGAUAUAUUGUUUUUUUUUUAUAAACCUUCAGUUUUCAUUUGCGUCCCAUUAUCACUUCUUAUCUUGUGUUUUAUGAAGGAUUCAUCAGAACUUGAAGAACUUAUCGAUUAUUUAGUAACAACGGAAAAAUCAGAAGGUGUUGUACUGCUUGGACACAGUACUGGUUGCCGGGUGUGUAAUAAAUUAUGGAUACAUGGAACAAUUAGCAUAA
Asparagus officinalis (garden asparagus) is the source of this 714-nucleotide long non-coding RNA. RefSeq lists it as uncharacterized. The transcript is spliced from 3 exons. Lineage: Eukaryota; Viridiplantae; Streptophyta; Magnoliopsida; Asparagales; Asparagaceae. The record is from RefSeq and is a predicted model, not a curated record.